RNAcentral lists this ribosomal RNA (482 nucleotides) under uncultured bacterium. RNAcentral describes it as "bacterial SSU rRNA". It matches the Rfam family "Bacterial small subunit ribosomal RNA", at positions 29 to 506 of the family's 1533-position model. The record is from RNAcentral.
ACGAACGCUGGCGGCGUGCUUAACACAUGCAAGUCGAACGUGAAAGUCCUUCGGGAUGAGUAAAGUGGCGCACGGGUGAGUAAUACAUAGGAACGUACCUUCAGAUGGGGAAUAACUACCGGAAACGGUAGCUAAUACCGCAUGAAGUCGCGAGACCAAAGGAGGCCUCUGCUUGCAAGCUUUCGUCUGGAGAGCGGCCUAUGUCCCAUUAGCUAGUUGGAGAGGUAACGGCUCACCAAGGCGACGAUGGGUAGCUGGUCUGAGAGGAUGAUCAGCCACACUGGAACUGAGAUACGGUCCAGACUCCUACGGGAGGCAGCAGUGGGGAAUCUUGCACAAUGGGCGCAAGCCUGAUGCAGCAACGCCGCGUGAGUGAAGAAGGCCCUUGGGUUGUAAAGCUCUUUCGGCUAGGAAGAAGUGCUUUAGGGUUAAUACCCCUAGAGUGUGACGGUACUAGAAGAAGAAGCACCGGCUAAUUCCGU